UGAGAUCCUUUUUGCGCUAUCGACGCGAUUUGUCAGGAAAAAAACGGGACAUGGCGAGAGAUCUUUCCCGUCGGAGAUCUGGGAAAGCGGAGAAAAUGAGAGAGCACCGCCGAGAGUGCAGCCUGACUUGUUGCAACCCCCUCGCGAUCGUUAGCGUCAUCUCCGAGACGGACGGACACCUCUCUCGAAGGGGCGGCGACGUGGCGAGGGAAACGGAGGGAUUUUUACUCGGUUCCUGGCGAGAACGUGCACGGGGAGGCCGCAGCCGCGCGCGGCACGAAUAUAGACUUCACUCGAGGUGCCUUUUUUACGAAUGCCACGCCUCGCAUUUCUGCAUAAUCACGGCUGUUGUCAUUCCCCUUCUUACGCACGCCAACCACACCGCCGAGGCCCCCUUCCUUUAAUCCCCCUUGCAAUCUGCCUCCUGCCACGGCAGGACUCCCUCUUCUCCUUCCCUCUGCUUCUGCCCUCAGGAAUCAGAGCUGACUGUGCCCGCACAAUGUGGCUAGGUAGCGGGUGAACCGGUGCAUUAUCGAAUGCACCGCGUCCGGUAACGGUGAGAGCGAGCUCGGCCUGGCGGUCUUCACGGGGACCGUAAUCGAGCCAUGACUCGUUGUCACGGGCCCGUUGCGGUCCUUUCGCGCCAAUCUAUAAAUCGUGAGCCAAGCUGUGUUGUUUCAUUAUUCUGGUAAGACUAUGUGAGACUAAUUUAAUGGGACAGUAAGAAAUGAGGAUUCAGUUUGUAGACAGAGCUCUGCGCCAGGAAUGUGUUAAGAAUGAAUCUCCAUUGCACAUACAUAGACUUUCUUCAUUACGUGGAUAUACAUUUAUGUAUGCGGAGGAGAUUGUAAUGUUUGCAAAUUCUGGAGUGAUGCGGUAAUACCUGCGCGGCCCAUAUAAGACGAAUCUUCAUGCGAGCGCCGUUGGCAUUGUGACAGAGUGGAACAGCUCGAACUGGAAAAGAAUCACGUUAACGAUCACUUACGGAUCUCCGGCAUACACGCAGCCUAUAAUGGACUACAACGUGUGGCACUGAUUAUACGCUUCAUGGCCGACUCAUUAUCUUUAUUUGUCCUGCGAGUAAAGUCGCCAUGCCGGGCUCGACUCUAAGGCGUUCCUCCUUUAGAUCCGUUCGGCCGCCAAUCGGCACCGAUCGCUGUGAUCAUUAACGUUAAUGGCGAACCGCACGUCAAUCUCGUAAGAUAGCACAAGACCAGCUACGCGGAAAUGUUUAACAAUAUCGAAUCCACAGUGACGUAUAACACGUGUAAUCUCUUUCCGUUCUUACGAUGCACGAAAUGAUUCAGCUUCGAUCAUAGGGGAAUCAGCUUUUUCCGUUGCGCGCCGGUGAUCUCGACUGGCGUGACCUUGAGGAAUGGUAAACCGGCCGUGAUGCGAUGCGAUGCGAUGCAAUGCGGUGCGGCAGGUCCGCACCUAAAUACCAGAUCACUCGAGUGUGGAAAAAAUCGCCUGCGCGUGCUGCUCUGGGCGCGCCGCUCGAGUUUCUUCUCGUAAUUCACGGAAGGUUGCACAGGACUAACAAGAGUUCUCGCCACGUCCGCGCGUCCGAAUCUUCCUGCCGCGUGUCAAACUCUCUUCCUUCAAACGAAAUGCAUAUCGCAUAUUUCAUCGACAUGCAGGACUCCCCCAGAAUUGACGGGAAGAUGCGUAGUCGGCUCUUAUUGCACUCAAAUUUUUUUCUUUCAGACGAAAGUAGUUCGAAAAUCUGUUUUUUAGCUAUCUAUCUUUACAACUGUGUAGUAUAUUUAUUAUUUGAUGCUACAUUAGUCUUUAAAAGGAGGAAAGAUUAGUUUCUCACUUUUUAUAAUGAUGUUUUUCUUCUGAGUGACGUCUGUUAUGAGACACAUUCUACUUUACAAUUUUAGCCUGCUUUUUCAUACAGCUAGACCGAAAUUUGCAUUAUUUUGCAUCGAUGAAGGAAGAUGCUGAAGAGUCGCAGUUCACAUGACUCAUAUCGGCAGAAACUUACGUCAAGCCGUACGUUUCUAGUCGGAGCAUCGGGACAACAUUUCUCGGCAUAUUUAUAACACGGCACGGACUGAUUGAUUAUACAUUUGCGAAACAUGUGCAGCUGGCAACUGACUUGGAAAUGCAACGGUCGUCGUAGAUGAGGAACGACUCUAAGAAUCUGGAAUACUUUAAGUGACUUAUCAGUAUCCAUAUAGAUAAUUUUAAUUUGAAAACAACUCUGCCGCAUGUAUUUUGAAGAAGCUCGAAAUUAACGUAAAUAUGGCAUCGCUGUUAUAAUAUCACCGCUUAGCAUAAGCAAAUUAGAAUGCAAACUGGUUGUUUCAACCAAACAAUUUUCGUCCAGUUUCCUGCCACUUAGCUUUAAUGUGAUACCGUUGACUUGCUCAAUAAUCUGACAACCUUUUACAUACACGUUACGCAUAUUUCAAGCAUGGACUAAAUACUACAUUAACAUUAUAAAAUCGUAUUGCAUCUGGAAACGAAAUUGCACCUGUUAGAUCCAAAUGAAAACUGUCGCUAUCGUAAGAACUUGCUUACACAUGAUAUUAUAAAUUGAAUUCGCCAACAUAUCUUUGUCAAUAUAUUUUUAUCAUAUGCAUAUCGUCGCUUUCCUAGCUAGGAAACGAAAGAACGUAUUUGUACUUCGAAUGAUUUUGUGAUCCUCCUCACCGACGAAUGUACGGGGUUGUCUUUUGCAAAAGACUAUUACCUUCGACCUCGUCGCAUUACUGUUGCCUGUAAACGGUGGCGUCACGAAACUAGCACAUUAGAUAUUUUGCGGGUAAGCAAAGCGUGGUUUAAUCGCUGAGAAAAUCCGCUAGUAACAAUCGCAUCUCCGUCGGGCAUCAUGAUGCACGUCAUGCAACGUGUUUUUUGCAAUUUACUCUAAAGUAAUCAAGAAAGAUAACAUUACUGUGCGAUAAAUUAACCUGGUAACGACGGUCUAGAUAAAUAAACCACGUAAGUCAUUAUUAAAUUAAAUGUUAGUUAUAUUGAUCUAUAUUCAUAAUUCGCUUGAGUAAAAUCAGUUCGACUUUUGCUAUUUCGAGUUAAAAUAAACAGAAGAUAAUAAUUAAUCCAUGGAA
RNAcentral lists this long non-coding RNA (3077 nucleotides) under Ooceraea biroi (clonal raider ant). Its description in RNAcentral is "uncharacterized LOC105282031". Lineage: Eukaryota; Metazoa; Arthropoda; Insecta; Hymenoptera; Formicidae. The record is from RNAcentral.